UUGUCAUGAUUAAGAGGGAUGGCUGGGAGCAUUUGUAUAGUGCCGCUAGAGGUGAAAUUCUUGGACCAGUGCAAGACAGACCAAAGCGAAAGCAUUUGCCAAGAAUGUUUUCAUU
RNAcentral lists this non-coding RNA (115 nucleotides) under Chelonia mydas (Green sea turtle). RNAcentral's name for it is "Eukaryotic small subunit ribosomal RNA". It matches the Rfam family "Eukaryotic small subunit ribosomal RNA", at positions 862 to 974 of the family's 1831-position model. The record is from Rfam by way of RNAcentral. Lineage: Eukaryota; Metazoa; Chordata; Testudines; Cheloniidae.